GAUGAACGCUGGCGGCGUGCUUAACACAUGCAAGUCGAACGGAAAGGCCCAAGCUUGCUUGGGUACUCGAGUGGCGAACGGGUGAGUAACACGUGGGUGAUCUGCCCUGCACUUCGGGAUAAGCCUGGGAAACUGGGUCUAAUACCGGAUAGGACUACUUUUCGGAUGGUGUGGUGGAAAGUUUUUCGGUGUGGGAUGAGCUCGCGGCCUAUCAGCUUGUUGGUGUGGUAAUGGCCUACCAAGGCGUCGACGGGGAGCCGGCCUGAGAGGGUGUGCGGCCACAGUGGGACUGGGAUUGGGCCAAGACUCCGACGGGAAGGAGAAGUAGGGGAGAUGGAACAAGGGGCGCGAGCCAGAUGCAGCGACGCCGCGGGGGGGAGGACGGCCUUCGGGUUGGAGACGCCAUGCGCUAGGGACGAGGCGUUAUGUGACGGUACCUGGAGAAGAAGCACCGGCUAACUACGUG
RNAcentral lists this ribosomal RNA (466 nucleotides) under uncultured bacterium. RNAcentral's name for it is "partial 16S ribosomal RNA". It matches the Rfam family "Bacterial small subunit ribosomal RNA", at positions 28 to 507 of the family's 1533-position model. The record is from RNAcentral.